UGGUGGAGUGAUUUGUCUGGUUAAUUCCGAUAACGAACGAGACCUUAACCUGCUAACUAGUCUCACUCAUUUUAUGGGUGCUGACUUCUUAGAGGGACUAUGUAGCGUUAAGCACAUGGAAGUUUGAGGCAAUAACA
RNAcentral lists this ribosomal RNA (137 nucleotides) under uncultured eukaryote. RNAcentral's name for it is "partial 18S ribosomal RNA". It matches the Rfam family "Eukaryotic small subunit ribosomal RNA", at positions 1299 to 1458 of the family's 1831-position model. The record is from RNAcentral.